RNAcentral lists this long non-coding RNA (608 nucleotides) under Mytilus galloprovincialis (Mediterranean mussel). The record is from RNAcentral. Lineage: Eukaryota; Metazoa; Mollusca; Bivalvia; Mytilida; Mytilidae.
GGUGGGUAUGGUUGUCCUGCGAGAGAACGUUCUGUGCUGGUGAUUUGGUCCUGUCAGGUGCUGGUGGGUCCUGAUUCUGUGCUGGUGGGUUUGUUUACAUUGUAUCAGAACGGCAAUAAAACGACUGUUUUGUUGCUUUAUUUUUCUCUGAUGCGUCAUAAGUACCAUGCAAAGUAUAUUACAACAAUAUUAUAUUUCAAAAGUCGUGCAAGUUCGUUAAACGGAAUUGUCCUGUCGCUGUGCUGGUGAUAAGAAAAACGGUCCUGGUUCUGUGCUCCUAUGUCCUGGUUCUGUGCCUUUAUAUUUUAGUUAAAAGUGGCAUUUAUUCAAGAUCAUUGAUGCUGUACUGUUAUUGACUAAUUAACUGUUGUCUGCUUUCUUGAAAUUGACAUUGUUGUGAAUCUGUUUACUGUUAUUAUGAGAGAAAAAAUACCCGUAUUUUUUUAUUUUUUUUUUUAAAUUAACUGUAAUCUUAUUUAUUGGCCUGUUAAAUGGAACCCUUCUUGCCCCCUUUUAAGAUAAGAAAAUAUGUUUACGAUUUUCGGGAUUACGAUCAUUUUGCAAGAUCACCAAAAUACGUUGUAAUUUAUACAAUACUUAUAUAAAGU